CAGGGUGGAUAAGUGAGCGUAAUGAAAAACACACCUGUGCACGUGGACUGACAGCUUCAACAAAACUAAGGCGACGACAUAAACUGAAAGACGUCCACUUUAGGACUCACUAUCAUAAAGUGGCCUGCUUAUGAGACUGUGGCCCCUGGGUACAGACAUACAAAGGCCCCAUCCUCUUGAAGUUAACAGACUUUGGAUGCUUUACUCCUCUUUUGGAUUCAGUCAACACGUCUGCUGGGGUUAAAGACUUGCAGAGUGGAGGCUGACGGGGAAUGGCAUUCAGGACUCAGGACGGAUGACGGCGACAAAGCAGCGACACUUGAAGAACCAAUCAGGCCAGCUGUUGCAUCCCGUCGAGGAGGAGGAAUGAAUUUGAAAAUGUCUUCAGCAGAUGUCCUGAUUUCCAGUGUUUCCUCCAUGCCUCUCACUACAGCUGCUGCAAGCAUGCCAUUGAUGAAAUGAUGUUCACAGUUUACACCUACCCACAAUUCUCAGCGGUGUGUACUGAUAUCAGAGAGCUCAUUUUACACAAAACCUGCAAUACAGCUGCUGCUAUGAUUACUAGAUAUUUCCUUUAUUGACCCUAACCCAUCUACAUGAGUACUUGUAAAUGGAAGCAGGGGAUUCAUUGAUUGAUUAUUGUCAAAUAUGAUAAGCCAACAAUGGUGUGUGUACAUUAUUUAAGGAUGAUUCAAUUGUAUUUUGUUGUCUUACUUUGUUUAAAUGAAUGCA
Molecule: long non-coding RNA, 732 nt
Organism: Eleginops maclovinus (Patagonian blennie)
Lineage: Eukaryota; Metazoa; Chordata; Actinopteri; Perciformes; Eleginopidae
Exons: 5
Source: RefSeq, a predicted model, not a curated record